UAUUGCCCUUUCUCUCUCCUCUCUCUACUCUCUCUCUCUCUGUCUGCCUGCCUGUCUGUCACUGCCAGUUCCUAAGAAGAGGGUUCUGACUAUUACCAUGAAGUGUUCGUCCAGCGUACCCCUCUACUGCGAGGACAUCCGCACACAGACAGAGGUCCUGUCAAAGUUGCAGGAGCAUUUCCGCAAGGAGUUCUACAAGAAGAUAGAUAUUGUGUUCUGGGAACUGGACUGGAGAGAGGCAUAAUAUCUCACACAAGCUUGACCAAAUACUACUACUUUAAUACACAUUUAAGGGAAUUUGCCGCAACACUUUUGGUCCCCUAAAAUGGGGGUACUAUAUACAAAAAGCGCUGUAAUUUCUGCACGGUUCACCCGAUAUAAAUGAAAAUACCCUCAAAUUAAAGAGUACAGAGUACAUAUCUACUUUAA
Oncorhynchus mykiss (rainbow trout) is the source of this 429-nucleotide non-coding RNA. The record is from RefSeq and is a predicted model, not a curated record. Lineage: Eukaryota; Metazoa; Chordata; Actinopteri; Salmoniformes; Salmonidae.